RNAcentral lists this ribosomal RNA (253 nucleotides) under uncultured bacterium. Its description in RNAcentral is "partial 16S ribosomal RNA". It matches the Rfam family "Bacterial small subunit ribosomal RNA", at positions 524 to 776 of the family's 1533-position model. The record is from RNAcentral.
UACGUAGGGUGCAAGCGUUAAUCGGAAUUACUGGGCGUAAAGCGUGCGCAGGCGGUUUUGUAAGUCUGACGUGAAAUCCCCGGGCUCAACCUGGGAAUUGCGAUGGAGACUGCAAGGCUAGAAUCUGGCAGAGGGGGGUAGAAUUCCACGUGUAGCAGUGAAAUGCGUAGAGAUGUGGAGGAAUACCGAUGGCGAAGGCAGCCCCCUGGGAUAACACUGACGCUCAUGCACGAAAGCGUGGGGAGCAAACAGG